Molecule: transfer RNA, 65 nt
Filed under: Nothoaspis amazoniensis
Lineage: Eukaryota; Metazoa; Arthropoda; Arachnida; Ixodida; Argasidae
Description: tRNA-Leu
Source: RNAcentral
UUUAUCUUGACAGAUUAAAUGUGUCAAAUUUAGAAUUUGAAUAUGAUAAGUGAUAUCAGAUAAAA